This 996-nucleotide long non-coding RNA is filed under the name Helianthus annuus (common sunflower). RNAcentral's name for it is "hypothetical non coding rna". The record is from RNAcentral. Lineage: Eukaryota; Viridiplantae; Streptophyta; Magnoliopsida; Asterales; Asteraceae.
UUCUUUCUCUUUUUUCCCACUGUGCGCCAUGUCUACCCUCUAAAUAUACAUCCAUUAUAUUUCAAAAGCCUUAUUCCAUUUUAAGUAUUGUAACCCCUAAUCACUGAUGCCCUGUCCGAUUGACGUAGGGCCCCGUAACGUAUGUCAAGGCUCUGCCUAAAUUCGUUGGGGUUCUGUCUCGUGACGAGUUGUACCCAAAAUAUAACAACCCUCCCGAAUAUUUUUCUGACACCCUGCACUUCCUAAAAUACACCCCGUAUGUGAAAACCAAGCCCGAAAUAUAAUAUAGUAUUAAAAAUAAAUAAAAACAAGAAAUAAUAAGUUGAGGCGGGCCGCGUAGGACCUCACCUCAACUUAACGCAGGCCGUGUGAGGAUGUAACUGGACUCCGCUGAAUUCUUUAGUUCAUGCGGGCCGCGUAAGGCCACACCGUUAGCUUAUGCGGGCCGCGAGUGUCCCAAUUGGUGGCGCAGCCCGGUGAUGACACGUGUCAUCAUCGUGGCAAGGCUAGAUCAUGACCAGGACAACCUACGCGUUGACCCAGUAUUGACGCGGGCCGCGUAAGCUUGCCUGUUCUUUACGCGGGCCGCGUGGGAACCAGUUUCAGCAACUAUAUAAGGAACACAUCGGAUUUCAAUUCAGUUCGUUCAUUUCUCAAUUCUCAAUUACAAUUUCUGUAGUAGGCUUAUUAUACUCGGGUAUUAUACCCCCUAAUUAGCGAAGCUCUGCCUCGUUGUAAGUAUCAUAACCCCUGGAUACGUAUUAGAUACUCUGCCAGAUUGAUCUAGGGUUCCGUAACGGCUGUCGUGGUUCUGCCCGACGUAGUCGUUGGAAUGCCGUCUCGGGGAGUGUGACACCCCAGGAAAACCAGCAAACGAUGUAACUUACCUAGCUUUAACUUACCUAGCUUCCUCAGUGAGUGCGUACCAAAUUUCGGGACGAAAUUUCCUUUUAGUUGGGGAUACUGUGACAACUCGUAAUUCGAACCCACUUCUGU